AAUCCAUAGGUUAAUGAGGCGAACCGGGGGAACUGAAACAUCUAAGUACCCCGAGGAAAAGAAAUCAACCGAGAUUCCCCCAGUAGCGGCGAGCGAACGGGGAGGAGCCCAGAGCCUGAAUCAGCAUGUGUGUUAGUGGAAGCGUCUGGAAAGGCGCGCGAUACAGGGUGACAGCCCCGUACACAAAAGCGCAUGUGCUGUGAGCUCGAUGAGUAGGGCGGGACACGUGGUAUCCUGUCUGAAUAUGGGGGGACCAUCCUCCAAGGCUAAAUACUCCUGACUGACCGAUAGUGAACCAGUACCGUGAGGGAAAGGCGAAAAGAACCCCGGCGAGGGGAGUGAAAAAGAACCUGAAACCGUGUACGUACAAGCAGUGGGAGCACCCUUUGGGUGUGACUGCGUACCUUUUGUAUAAUGGGUCAGCGACUUAUAUUCUGUAGCAAGGUUAACCGAAUAGGGGAGCCGGAGGGAAACCGAGUCUUAAUUGGGCGUUAAGUUGCAGGGUAUAGACCCGAAACCCGGUGAUCUAGCCAUGGGCAGGUUGAAGGUUGGGUAACACUAACUGGAGGACCGAACCGACUAAUGUUGAAAAAUUAGCGGAUGACCUGUGGCUGGGGGUGAAAGGCCAAUCAAACCGGGAGAUAGCUGGUUCUCCCCGAAAGCUAUUUAGGUAGCGCCUCGUGAAUUCAUCUCCGGGGGUAGAGCACUGUUUCGGCUAGGGGGCCAUCCCGGCUUACCAACCCGAUGCAAACUGCGAAUACCGGAGAAUGUUAUCACGGGAGACACACGGCGGGUGCUAACGUCCGUCGUGAAGAGGGAAACAACCCAGACCGCCAGCUAAGGUCCCAAAGUCAUGGUUAAGUGGGAAACGAUGUGGGAAGGCCCAGACAGCCAGGAUGUUGGCUUAGAAGCAGCCAUCAUUUAAAGAAAGCGUAAUAGCUCACUGGUCGAGUCGGCCUGCGCGGAAGAUGUAACGGGGCUAAACCAUGCACCGAAGCUGCGGCAGCGACGCUUAUGCGUUGUUGGGUAGGGGAGCGUUCUGUAAGCCUGCGAAGGUGGCCUGUGAGGGUUGCUGGAGGUAUCAGAAGUGCGAAUGCUGACAUAAGUAACGAUAAAGCGGGUGAAAAGCCCGCUCGCCGGAAGACCAAGGGUUCCUGUCCAACGUUAAUCGGGGCAGGGUGAGUCGACCCCUAAGGCGAGGCCGAAAGGCGUAGUCGAUGGGAAACGGGUUAAUAUUCCCGUACUUGGUGUUACUGCGAAGGGGGGACGGAGAAGGCUAUGUUGGCCGGGCGACGGUUGUCCCGGUUUAAGCGUGUAGGCUGGUUUUCCAGGCAAAUCCGGAAAAUCAAGGCUGAGGCGUGAUGACGAGGCACUACGGUGCUGAAGCAACAAAUGCCCUGCUUCCAGGAAAAGCCUCUAAGCAUCAGGUAACAUCAAAUCGUACCCCAAACCGACACAGGUGGUCAGGUAGAGAAUACCAAGGCGCUUGAGAGAACUCGGGUGAAGGAACUAGGCAAAAUGGUGCCGUAACUUCGGGAGAAGGCACGCUGACACGUAGGUGAAGUGAUUUACUCACGGAGCUGAAGUCAGUCGAAGAUACCAGCUGGCUGCAACUGUUUAUUAAAAACACAGCACUGUGCAAACACGAAAGUGGACGUAUACGGUGUGACGCCUGCCCGGUGCCGGAAGGUUAAUUGAUGGGGUCAGCGCAAGCGAAGCUCCUGAUCGAAGCCCCGGUAAACGGCGGCCGUAACUAUAACGGUCCUAAGGUAGCGAAAUUCCUUGUCGGGUAAGUUCCGACCUGCACGAAUGGCGUAAUGAUGGCCAGGCUGUCUCCACCCGAGACUCAGUGAAAUUGAACUCGCUGUGAAGAUGCAGUGUACCCGCGGCAAGACGGAAAGACCCCGUGAACCUUUACUAUAGCUUGACACUGAACAUUGAGCCUUGAUGUGUAGGAUAGGUGGGAGGCUUUGAAGUGUGGACGCCAGUCUGCAUGGAGCCGACCUUGAAAUACCACCCUUUAAUGUUUGAUGUUCUAACGUGGACCCGUUACCCGGGUUGCGGACAGUGUCUGGUGGGUAGUUUGACUGGGGCGGUCUCCUCCUAAAGAGUAACGGAGGAGCACGAAGGUUGGCUAAUCCUGGUCGGACAUCAGGAGGUUAGUGCAAUGGCAUAAGCCAGCUUGACUGCGAGCGUGACGGCGCGAGCAGGUGCGAAAGCAGGUCAUAGUGAUCCGGUGGUUCUGAAUGGAAGGGCCAUCGCUCAACGGAUAAAAGGUACUCCGGGGAUAACAGGCUGAUACCGCCCAAGAGUUCAUAUCGACGGCGGUGUUUGGCACCUCGAUGUCGGCUCAUCACAUCCUGGGGCUGAAGUAGGUCCCAAGGGUAUGGCUGUUCGCCAUUUAAAGUGGUACGCGAGCUGGGUUUAGAACGUCGUGAGACAGUUCGGUCCCUAUCUGCCGUGGGCGCUGGAGAACUGAGGGGGGCUGCUCCUAGUACGAGAGGACCGGAGUGGACGCAUCACUGGUGUUCGGGUUGUCAUGCCAAUGGCACUGCCCGGUAGCUAAAUGCGGAAGAGAUAAGUGCUGAAAGCAUCUAAGCACGAAACUUGCCCCGAGAUGAGUUCUCCCUGAGACUUAGAGUCUCCUGAAGGAACGUUGAAGACGACGACGUUGAUAGGCCGGGUGUGUAAGCGCAGCGAUGCGUUGAGCUAACCGGUACUAAUGAACCGUGAGGCUUAACCUUACAACGCCG
This 2753-nucleotide ribosomal RNA is filed under the name Salmonella enterica subsp. enterica serovar Enteritidis. RNAcentral describes it as "partial 23S ribosomal RNA". It matches the Rfam family "Bacterial large subunit ribosomal RNA". The record is from RNAcentral. Lineage: Bacteria; Pseudomonadati; Pseudomonadota; Gammaproteobacteria; Enterobacterales; Enterobacteriaceae.